GGCAUGUUAAAAUAGAUGAACAGGAAAUGAUUUCUGACCAGAAGGGGCCUGUGGUGCAGCCAACCAGGUAGCAACAAAAGGCUCCUCCUAGUUCUGACCCUUCCCACACCUAAAACAUGUCCUACAAGUCUGAGUGAGACCCAACAUGUUGAGCAUCUUGCCACUGUAUCCUUACCCCUCCUUUCCCAAAUCUAUAUAAACCCUGUUCACCCCCAAGAUGGGGCUGAUCACUUUGUGGAGAAGUCCCCCAUCAGUCUGGUAGUGAAAUAAACCUGCCUCCAACUUCCAGGAUGUGUACUUGAUUCUUCUUGGCUUGACUCUGUUAUACUACCUAGAGCUACAACACUGCAACUUAUAUUUGCUACAAUAUCUUGGUGCUUUGGCAGGGAAAAAUCGACAGUGCUAAGUUUAAAAUCACUGGUGAAGCCCUUGUGGAAGGAGUGAAGAUCCCCCACCCCCACCCUGCACCCCAGAUGGACGAGAGGCAUGCCUCCAGAUUUUUCUGAGUCUCCUUGGAGGAGUGGGGGUGGACUGCUCAUUCUACUGCUUGUGGCUCCCCUGGACCCAGAAGGAAAGAGGACGCAGGUCUGGUUUAAUCCAACCUCAUCAUCAGAUAAGGCUCUUCCUGCCAGCCCAUGAGGACAAAGUCCCUAAGGAAGCAGUAUUGAAAUGCUUUGCCUCUGAAGGUUUGACAGGUAAAAAUAUGUAAAUGAAUGUAAUGGGAAAAGUAAUCUAUAGGCUGUCCCAACAGGAAUUCAACUACUAAAACAACCAUGGUUGAUAAAAAAAUAACAAUCCUCUAACUAUACUUUAUAUUUCAAAAGUGCUUAACGUUCAACAAAAUUAUAAUAGUGACCUUUUCUUCUGGGUGUUCAACUAAGGUUUGGAGACCAAAACUAAAAUGGUAACUGGGCUAUAAGGACAGCUAAUAUUUUGGCCCUAGCCCCUCAAGGUUAACAAAGAUCCAGGACACAAAGGAACCUUUUCUACAGGAUCCUUCAUCUUUGAGGCUGCCAAACUCCAAAUGGUCAUACAAAUGGAACCAAAGACAAAUGUGCUGGACUUCUUUUACCAGAAUCCACCAGAUGGACCUUAUAAAAAGUUCAUAACUGCUAAACUACAAUUCUGAAGUCACCUGGGCCUUCUUCUUAUCCUCUUUAUGGAAGGCUAUUACUAAUUCUUCUUGACUUAAAGCUACCCAAGAUGACAAUGGCUAGUGCCUGUUGAGGGCCUUUAGAUAGACCCUCUAUAGAGUAUCUCUGACUGCUGAACAGAACUACAACCUCUUCAGCCAGAAAUAGCCAGAAUGUUCUUCACCCCUUGCCCUCUCAUGGCAGUUCGGGAUACUUUGUCAGAGAGGGGAUAUUAUAGAUAGACAGUUAGACAUUUAGGGUCCCCUUCAAGGCACCAGCCCUCAAGGCCCCAGUCCUCAAGAUGCCAGCCCUCCAAGAGCCAACACAGCGAGGAGGCAACAGGGAGAAGAGUUGAGGCACAUUCACCGGUUCCACCAAGAUUAUUGUAUGGGGCUGUUAAAGUUUCAGAGAUCCAGUCAUGGAUUCGUCACUCUUGAAUCAAAAAGGCCCAUCACGAUGACUCUUGGGAGGCCCACACUGAUGAAACAACUCCAUUAACAAUAACACUGAGGAGACAACAUACUCAAAGCCCUGUUCCUGUCACUCCAGACACUGGCAGGCCAACAGAUGGCUGAAGCCUGUCUGAGGACCUCAACCCAUGAACCACUGCCACGCUUUCCAGACUUGGUCUCCCUGGCAUCUUUAUUCUUGCUUACCUCAUCAUGACUACCUUUAUUCUUGACAUAGGCCUAAUAACUGUUACUCCAGAGGACUGGAAUACUUUCCAAAGAUGUUUCCUCUUAGCUAUAUGCUGGGGUUUUAUGGUGACAUUUGCUAUCCUAUCUUGUCUAGAUUGACUCAGAAAAUCCCUGAGAACUGGUGGGGUGUCUUAGGUGACUGGAAGACAUGGUUAGGGGCUUUAUUAGGAUCUCUCUUUGGUAUCUUCAUGUUAUUAACAAUCAAUCUGUGCUUUAUAAACUGGUUCAUAUACUUUAUUUCUCAAUGCCUUAACACCAUUAAGAUCCAAAAAUCAUACUAAUAGAUGGUGACUUCAAGGUCUGAUGUGUACCCUUACACAUGUAAAAACAUAAACCAGCAAAGAAGUUGAAGAUUCAGCUAUAAUCAAAAAGAGGAGGGAAUGAGCAGGAUAUGAUUUCUGACCAGAAGGAGCCUGUGCUGCGGCUAACCAGAUAGCAACAAAAGGCUCCUCCUACUUCUGACCCCUCCCACACCUAAAACAUGUCCUGCAAGUCUGAGUGAGACCUGGACAUGUUUUCCUCCAGUGUCCUUUGUUCUCAGUAGGGUUUCUGUGACUCACGAUAUGUAAAUAAAGUGAAUCCUAGUGUACCUUUCUAUCCAAUUUCAUAAGUUGAACGUGUCUACCUCAAACAAUGAACUAAUGUUGAGUGUCAUGCCACUGUAUCCUUACCCCUCCUUUCCCAAAUCUAUAUAAAUCCUGUUCACCCCCAAGAUGGAGCUGAUAAUUUUGUGGAGAAGUUUCCCAUCAGUCUGCUAGUGAAAUAAACCUGCCUCCAACUUCCAGGAUGUGUGCUUGAUUCUUCUUGGCCCGACUCUCUUAUACUAUUUAGAGCUACAAUACUGCAAGUUAUAUUUGCUACAAUAUAGGAAGAUAGGUUAGGAAAUCUGAGAUAACACUUUCAGCCUUCAGAGAUCAAACCUUAAUAAAAAGAAAGUUUAUGAUUCUCAAAAAUAAUUUGAUUCCAUGUAAAUAGAAUACAAUUAAAGCAACACAAGAAGCAAUAUCCAGCUAAAUUAUAGAAUAGUUUGAUUCGAAUUGGCACAAUAAUGACCUAAAAGAAGAAUGGGAAAGCUGCUUUGGAAGCAUAAGUAUUGUUUACCUCGCCUCUCUAAUCCUUCUCUACACACAAUUUCUAAUAUGCUAUAAAGACGUACAAGACAUGUAAAAAGCAAAUAAAAUAUGCCUCAUUUUUAGGAAAGUAGCCCCCAGAACCAGAAUCAUAGGUUGCUCAAGUUUAGAAUUAUUAAUGACUGGGAGAAAAUUUGCACAGCAUAUAUGAACAGUUGGGAGAGUUAGGCAAAGAGAAAGUGUAUUAGACAGUUUUCCCAUCUCUGGGACAAACCACCUGAUACCUUCCACUUAAAGGAGAAAAGUCAGCUCAAACAGUGUUGUGUAGGGA
Long non-coding RNA from Heterocephalus glaber (naked mole-rat), 3232 nucleotides. Lineage: Eukaryota; Metazoa; Chordata; Mammalia; Rodentia; Bathyergidae. The record is from Ensembl.